CAGGAGAUAUCUAUUCAGAACUCUGAUUCCUACAUACUAGUACUUUCGUUGACCUGUUCUUCAUAUGUUUUAUGUUUCUGUUGUUAAUUCACUCGUUCCAGGUGAAUGAUUCUCUACCAUCCCGCAAUCACUGUUCCCUCGGAUAUUCUCAAGAGAGGAACAGUCUCAGCUAUUUCUUAAUAUCUUUAGCAUUUUGUUAUAAAGUUCGAUUGGUACUGCUGCUCCCCGUGGCAUCAAAUAUCAAGCUUGUGUUUGUUUUUUCCAUGAGAUCCUUGAUAUGCUGGCAAUUGUCACCACGGUUUUCUCAACAUUCGUCAAAACCCUCUCAGACCCU
Molecule: small RNA, 334 nt
Filed under: Histoplasma ohiense
Lineage: Eukaryota; Fungi; Ascomycota; Eurotiomycetes; Onygenales; Ajellomycetaceae
Description: hypothetical lncRNA
Source: RNAcentral